CCUACGGGAGGCUGCAGUGGGGAAUAUUGGACAAUGGGGGCAACCCUGAUCCAGCCAUGCCGCGUGUGUGAAGAAGGCCCUCGGGUUGUAAAGCACUUUCAGUGAGGAAGAACGCCUGGUGGUUAAUACCCAUCAGGAAAGACAUCACUCACAGAAGAAGCACCGGCUAACUCCGUGCCAGCAGCCGCGGUAAUACGGAGGGUGCGAGUGUUAAUCGGAAUUACUGGGCGUAAAGCGCGCGUAGGUGGCUUGAUAAGCCGGUUGUGAAAGCCCCGGGCUCAACCUGGGAACGGCAUCCGGAACUGUCAAGCUAGAGUGCAGGAGAGGAAGGUAGAAUUCCCGGUGUAGCGGUGAAAUGCGUAGAGAUCGGGAGGAAUACCAGUGGCGAAGGCGGCCUUCUGGACUGACACCGACACUGAGGUGCGAAAGCGUGGGUAGCAAACAGGAUUAGAUACCCUUGUAGUC
Molecule: ribosomal RNA, 465 nt
Filed under: Vreelandella stevensii
Lineage: Bacteria; Pseudomonadati; Pseudomonadota; Gammaproteobacteria; Oceanospirillales; Halomonadaceae
Description: partial 16S ribosomal RNA
Rfam family: Bacterial small subunit ribosomal RNA
Source: RNAcentral